UUCCGUAGGUGAACCUGCGGAGGGAUCAUUACACAAAUAUGAAGGCGGGCUGGAACCUCUCGGGGUUACAGCCUUGCUGAAUAAUACACCCUUGUCUUUUGCGUACUUCUUGUUUCCUUGGUGGGUUCGCCCACCACUAGGACAAACAUAAACCUUUUGUAAUUGCAAUCAGAAUCAGUAACAAAUUAAUAAUUACAACUUUCAACAACGGAUCUCUUGGUUCUGGCAUCGAUGAAGAACGCAGCGAAAUGCGAUAAGUAGUGUGAAUUGCAGAAUUCAGUGAAUCAUCGAAUCUUUGAACGCACAUUGCGCCCUUUGGUAUUCCAAAGGGCAUGCCUGUUCGAGCGUCAUUUGUACCCUCAAGCUUUGCUUGGUGUUGGGCGUCUUGUCUCUAGCUUUGCUGGAGACUCGCCUUAAUGUAAUUGGCAGCCGGCCCCCUUUUUCGGAGCGCAGCACAAGUCGCACUCUCUAUCAGCAAAGGUCUAGCAUCCAUUAAACCUUUUUUCAACUUUUUCCUCGGAUCAGGUAGGGAUACCCGCUGAACUUAAGCAUUUCAAUAAGCGGAGGAAAUUUAAGGUG
RNAcentral lists this ribosomal RNA (579 nucleotides) under uncultured Alternaria. RNAcentral describes it as "eukaryotic LSU rRNA". The stretch from base 197 to 350 matches the Rfam family "5.8S ribosomal RNA". Lineage: Eukaryota; Fungi; Ascomycota; Dothideomycetes; Pleosporales; Pleosporaceae. The record is from RNAcentral.